UACAGAGGGUGCGAGCGUUAAUCGGAAUUACUGGGCGUAAAGGGCGCGUAGGCGGUUAAGUAAGUUAUGUGUGAAAGCUCUGGGCUUAACCUGGGAACUGCACAUAAUACUGUUUAGCUAGAGUAGAGUAGAGGAAAGUGGAAUUUCCGGUGUAGCGGUGAAAUGCGUAGAUAUCGGAAGGAACACCAGUGGCGAAGGCGGCUUUCUGGACUCAUACUGACGCUGAGGCGCGAAAGCGUGGGGAGCAAACAGG
This 253-nucleotide ribosomal RNA is filed under the name uncultured bacterium. RNAcentral's name for it is "partial 16S ribosomal RNA". It matches the Rfam family "Bacterial small subunit ribosomal RNA", at positions 524 to 776 of the family's 1533-position model. The record is from RNAcentral.